Molecule: ribosomal RNA, 296 nt
Filed under: Scinax x-signatus group sp. ABGD cluster 63
Lineage: Eukaryota; Metazoa; Chordata; Amphibia; Anura; Hylidae
Description: partial large subunit ribosomal RNA
Rfam family: Archaeal large subunit ribosomal RNA
Source: RNAcentral
AAUCACUUGUUCUUUAAAUGAGGACUAGUAUGAAUGGCACCACGAGGGUCGCACUGUCUCCUUCCCCUAAUCAAUGAAACUAAUCUUCCCGUGAAGAAGCGGGAAUUUAUCUAUAAGACGAGAAGACCCUAUGGAGCUUUAAAUUUCUCUUCAAACGCCAGACAUAAACCCUAAACAUCUUACACCAACCCGGCGCCAUGAAGAUGAAUUUUAGGUUGGGGUGACCACGGAGAACAAGACAACCUCCACGCUGAAUAGGCCUAAAACCUUGAACUAAGGACCACAGCCCGACGAAC